Molecule: transfer RNA, 74 nt
Filed under: Prevotella sp.
Lineage: Bacteria; Pseudomonadati; Bacteroidota; Bacteroidia; Bacteroidales; Prevotellaceae
Also listed under: 4 other names
Description: tRNA-His
Rfam family: tRNA
About the family: Transfer RNA (tRNA) molecules are approximately 80 nucleotides in length.
Source: RNAcentral
GUGGGUGUAGUUCAGUUGGUUAGAGCGUCAGAUUGUGGUUCUGAAUGUCGUGGGUUCGAGUCCCACCAUCCACC